AACACAGAGGAGCGAAGAGAAUACAGAGGAGCGAGGAGGACACUGAGGAGCGAGGUGAGGAGCGAGGAAGACACUGAGAAGCGAGGUGAGGAGCGAGGAGGACACUGAGGAGUGAGGUGAGGAGCGAGGAGACACUGAGGAGGACACUGAGGAGUGAGGUGAGGAGCGAGGUGAGGAGCGAGGAGGACACUGAGGAGUGAGGUGAGGAGCGAGGUGAGGAGCGAGGAGGACACUGAGGAGCGAGGAGGACACUGAGGAGCGAGGAGGACACUGAGGAGUGAGGUGAGGAGCGAGGAGGACACUGAGGAGCGAGGAGGACACUGAGGAGUGAGGUGAGGAGCGAGGAGGACACUGAGGAGUGAGGUGAGGAGCGAGGAGACACUGAGGAGGACACUGAGGAGCGAGGAGGACACUGAGGAGUGAGGUGAGGAGCGAGGAGACACUGAGGAGGACACUGAGGAGCGAGGU
Long non-coding RNA from Ictalurus punctatus (channel catfish), 468 nucleotides. The record is from Ensembl. NCBI's taxonomy places the organism in Eukaryota, Metazoa, Chordata, Actinopteri, Siluriformes, Ictaluridae.